RNAcentral lists this ribosomal RNA (992 nucleotides) under Sodalis endosymbiont of Microlynchia galapagoensis. Its description in RNAcentral is "bacterial SSU rRNA". It matches the Rfam family "Bacterial small subunit ribosomal RNA", at positions 72 to 1064 of the family's 1533-position model. The record is from RNAcentral. Lineage: Bacteria; Pseudomonadati; Pseudomonadota; Gammaproteobacteria; Enterobacterales; Bruguierivoracaceae.
CUUGCUUCUUUGCCGGCGAGCGGCGGACGGGUGAGUAAUGUCUGGGGAUCUGCCCGAUGGCGGGGGAUAACUACUGGAAACGGUAGCUAAUACCGCAUAACGUCGCAAGACCAAAGUGGGGGACCUUCGGGCCUCACACCAUCGGAUGAACCCAGAUGGGAUUAGCUAGUAGGUGGGGUAAUGGCUCAUCUAGGCGACGAUCCCUAGCUGGUCUGAGAGGAUGACCAGCCACACUGGAACUGAGACACGGUCCAGACUCCUACGGGAGGCAGCAGUGGGGAAUAUUGCACAAUGGGGGAAACCCUGAUGCAGCCAUGCCGCGUGUGUGAAGAAGGCCUUCGGGUUGUAAAGCACUUUCAGCGGGGAGGAAGGCGGUGGCGUUAAUAGCGCUAUCGAUUGACGUUACCCGCAGAAGAAGCACCGGCUAACUCCGUGCCAGCAGCCGCGGUAAUACGGAGGGUGCAAGCGUUAAUCGGAAUUACUGGGCGUAAAGCGUACGCAGGCGGUCUGUUAAGUCAGAUGUGAAAUCCCCGGGCUUAACCUGGGAACUGCAUUUGAAACUGGCAGGCUAGAGUCUCGUAGAGGGGGGUAGAAUUCCAGGUGUAGCAGUGAAAUGCGUAGAGAUCUGGAGGAAUACCGGUGGCGAAGGCGGCCCCCUGGACGAAGACUGACGCUCAGGUACGAAAGCGUGGGGAGCAAACAGGAUUAGAUACCCUGGUAGUCCACGCUGUAAACGAUGUCGAUUUGAAGGUUGUGGCCUUGAGCCGUGGCUUUCGGAGCUAACGCGUUAAAUCGACCGCCUGGGGAGUACGGCCGCAAGGUUAAAACUCAAAUGAAUUGACGGGGGCCCGCACAAGCGGUGGAGCAUGUGGUUUAAUUCGAUGCAACGCGAAGAACCUUACCUACUCUUGACAUCCAGAGAACUUGGCAGAGAUGCCUUGGUGCCUUCGGGAACUCUGAGACAGGUGCUGCAUGGCUGUCGUCAGCUCGUG